UUUAUGAGAGUUUGAUCCUGGCUCAGGACGAACGCUGGCGGCGUGCCUAAUACAUGCAAGUAGAACGCUGAAGUCUGGUGCUUGCACUAGACGGAUGAGUUGCGAACGGGUGAGUAACGCGUAGGUAACCUGCCUCAUAGCGGGGGAUAACUAUUGGAAACGAUAGCUAAUACCGCAUAACAGUAUUUACCGCAUGGUAGAUAUUUGAAAGGAGCAAUUGCUUCACUAUGAGAUGGACCUGCGUUGUAUUAGCUAGUUGGUGAGGUAACGGCUCACCAAGGCUUCGAUACAUAGCCGACCUGAGAGGGUGAUCGGCCACACUGGGACUGAGACACGGCCCAGACUCCUACGGGAGGCAGCAGUAGGGAAUCUUCGGCAAUGGGGGCAACCCUGACCGAGCAACGCCGCGUGAGUGAAGAAGGUUUUCGGAUCGUAAAGCUCUGUUGUAAGGGAAGAACUGUGAGAAGAGUGGAAAGUUUCUCACUUGACGGUAUCUUACCAGAAAGGGACGGCUAACUACGUGCCAGCAGCCGCGGUAAUACGUAGGUCCCGAGCGUUGUCCGGAUUUAUUGGGCGUAAAGCGAGCGCAGGCGGUUUGAUAAGUCUGAAGUAAAAGGCUGUGGCUUAACCAUAGUACGCUUUGGAAACUGUCAAACUUGAGUGCAGAAGGGGAGAGUGGAAUUCCAUGUGUAGCGGUGAAAUGCGUAGAUAUAUGGAGGAACACCGGUGGCGAAAGCGGCUCUCUGGUCUGUAACUGACGCUGAGGCUCGAAAGCGUGGGGAGCGAACAGGAUUAGAUACCCUGGUAGUCCACGCCGUAAACGAUGAGUGCUAGGUGUUGGGUCCUUUCCGGGACUCAGUGCCGCAGCUAACGCAUUAAGCACUCCGCCUGGGGAGUACGACCGCAAGGUUGAAACUCAAAGGAAUUGACGGGGGCCCGCACAAGCGGUGGAGCAUGUGGUUUAAUUCGAAGCAACGCGAAGAACCUUACCAGGUCUUGACAUCCCGAUGACCGCCCUAGAGAUAGGGUUUCUCUUCGGAGCAUCGGUGACAGGUGGUGCAUGGUUGUCGUCAGCUCGUGUCGUGAGAUGUUGGGUUAAGUCCCGCAACGAGCGCAACCCCUAUUGUUAGUUGCCAUCAUUCAGUUGGGCACUCUAGCGAGACUGCCGGUAAUAAACCGGAGGAAGGUGGGGAUGACGUCAAAUCAUCAUGCCCCUUAUGACCUGGGCUACACACGUGCUACAAUGGCUGGUACAACGAGUCGCAAGUCGGUGACGGCAAGCUAAUCUCUUAAAGCCAGUCUCAGUUCGGAUUGUAGGCUGCAACUCGCCUACAUGAAGUCGGAAUCGCUAGUAAUCGCGGAUCAGCACGCCGCGGUGAAUACGUUCCCGGGCCUUGUACACACCGCCCGUCACACCACGAGAGUUUGUAACACCCGAAGUCGGUGAGGUAACCUUUUAGGAGCCAGCCGCCUAAGGUGGGAUAGAUGAUUGGGGUGAAGUCGUAACAAGGUAGCCGUAUCGGAAGGUGCGGCUGGAUCACCUCCUUUCUAAGGAA
This 1556-nucleotide ribosomal RNA is filed under the name Streptococcus suis. RNAcentral describes it as "bacterial SSU rRNA". It matches the Rfam family "Bacterial small subunit ribosomal RNA". Lineage: Bacteria; Bacillati; Bacillota; Bacilli; Lactobacillales; Streptococcaceae. The record is from RNAcentral.